AUUGAACGCUGGCGGCAGGCUUAACACAUGCAAGUCGAGCGGGGGAAGGUAGCUUGCUACUGGACCUAGCGGCGGACGGGUGAGUAAUGCUUAGGAAUCUGCCUAUUAGUGGGGGACAACAUCUCGAAAGGGAUGCUAAUACCGCAUACGUCCUACGAGAGAAAGCAGGGGAUCUUCGGACCUUGCGCUAAUAGAUGAGCCUAAGUCGGAUUAGCUAGUUGGUGGGGUAAAGGCCUACCAAGGCGACGAUCUGUAGCGGGUCUGAGAGGAUGAUCCGCCACACUGGGACUGAGACACGGCCCAGACUCCUACGGGAGGCAGCAGUGGGGAAUAUUGGACAAUGGGGGGAACCCUGAUCCAGCCAUGCCGCGUGUGUGAAGAAGGCCUUAAGGUUGUAAAGCACUUUAAGCGAGGAGGAGGCUACUCUAGUUAAUACCUAGGGAUAGUGGACGUUACUCGCAGAAUAAGCACCGGCUAACUCUGUGCCAGCCGCCGCCGUAA
RNAcentral lists this ribosomal RNA (501 nucleotides) under uncultured bacterium. RNAcentral describes it as "partial 16S ribosomal RNA". It matches the Rfam family "Bacterial small subunit ribosomal RNA", at positions 30 to 523 of the family's 1533-position model. The record is from RNAcentral.